Molecule: ribosomal RNA, 301 nt
Filed under: uncultured bacterium
Lineage: Bacteria
Description: partial 16S ribosomal RNA
Rfam family: Bacterial small subunit ribosomal RNA
Source: RNAcentral
CAGCAGCCGCGGUAAUACAGAGGGUGCGAGCGUUAAUCGGAUUUACUGGGCGUAAAGCGUGCGUAGGCGGCUUUUUAAGUCGGAUGUGAAAUCCCUGAGCUUAACUUAGGAAUUGCAUUCGAUACUGGGAAGCUAGAGUAUGGGAGAGGAUGGUAGAAUUCCAGGUGUAGCGGUGAAAUGCGUAGAGAUCUGGAGGAAUACCGAUGGCGAAGGCAGCCAUCUGGCCUAAUACUAACGCUGAGGUACGAAAGCAUGGGGAGCAAACAGGAUUAGAUACCCCGGUAGUCCCUGUCUCUUAUAC